This 810-nucleotide long non-coding RNA is filed under the name Marmota monax (woodchuck). Lineage: Eukaryota; Metazoa; Chordata; Mammalia; Rodentia; Sciuridae. The record is from RNAcentral.
CUAACAGGCAGUUUGGAAUUUUGCUUCUGCUUUUUAAACUUUUUCUUUCUUUCUUUUGUUUUGGAGGCAGACUAGAGAAAGGAAAAUUAAUAGAAACUGGGCUUCAAGUGCAAGAGCCACACACCUUUUUUUUUGAAAAAAAUCAAGGAAGAGUGAAGCAGAGCUUGGCUGGAGAGUGUUCAUUGGCAGAAAUGAUAUGAAGCUGAGACAAGAACCAAACCUCAUUAGUGUCAAAUGUCUCCUUCCUUUCCAGCUGCAGCCAGAGCAGAACCUAAGGAUGUGUGGUUGGGAGUCAGCAACUCCAAGCCUCAGAACAGCAAUCCGGUUUCUAUAUCUUCCAAGGGGUGGGGGCCGUUUUUCAGAUGGGGAUUUAUUUUUCACUCUGUGCUUUUCUACAGUGAGUUUUGGGAUACUCCUCCUCAUUCCUAGCCUCUGUGGACUUGAUAAUGCUCCAGUCAGUACUGGAGUAAUUGAAGAGAGGUAAAUGGCCCAGAGGCUGAUAGGUAGGUCAAUAUUUAUUGAGGAAGAGCUGAGGUCCUGGAGGGAUGAUUCCUUCAGUGCUGGCUGGGGUUGGGGUGGAAGUCUGGAAACCUGAGUUGAUCCCUGGUGGACAAGAACUUGGGGUUAAGAGAUGAGUGGUGAGAAGGAUCAGGGAAUGUAGAAACUACAACAGGAAGCUCUGCGUUGAGCAAAGAGUUUAUGAAAUAGGGCUUGCACAUAGUAGGACCAUGAAAAAUAUUUGCUGAACAAGUAAAUGAACAGAGAAAUUAUGUCACGAGUGAAGUUGAAGUUGUUCCUGGGGCUAAGGAG